UACGUAGGGUCCGAGCGUUGUCCGGAAUUAUUGGGCGUAAAGAGCUCGUAGGCGGUUUGUCGCGUCUGCUGUGAAAUCCCGAGGCUCAACCUCGGGCUUGCAGUGGGUACGGGCAGACUGGAGUGCGGUAGGGGAGAAUGGAAUUCCUGGUGUAGCGGUGGAAUGCGCAGAUAUCAGGAGGAACACCGAUGGCGAAGGCAGUUCUCUGGGCCGUAACUGACGCUGAGGAGCGAAAGCGUGGGGAGCGAACAGG
RNAcentral lists this ribosomal RNA (253 nucleotides) under uncultured bacterium. RNAcentral describes it as "partial 16S ribosomal RNA". It matches the Rfam family "Bacterial small subunit ribosomal RNA", at positions 524 to 776 of the family's 1533-position model. The record is from RNAcentral.